Molecule: ribosomal RNA, 497 nt
Filed under: uncultured bacterium
Lineage: Bacteria
Description: partial 16S ribosomal RNA
Rfam family: Bacterial small subunit ribosomal RNA
Source: RNAcentral
GAUGAACGCUGGCGGCGUGCCUAAUACAUGCAAGUCGAGCGAACAGAUAAGGAGCUUGCUCCUUUGACGUUAGCGGCGGACGGGUGAGUAACACGUGGGUAACCUACCUAUAAGACUGGAAUAACUCCGGGAAACCGGGGCUAAUGCCGGAUAACAUUUAGAACCGCAUGGUUCUAAAGUGAAAGAGGGUUUUGCUAUCACUUAUAGAUGGACCCGCGCCGUAUUAGCUAGUUGGUAAGGUAACGGCUUACCAAGGCAACGAUACGUAGCCGACCUGAGAGGGUGAUCGGCCACACUGGAACUGAGACACGGUCCAGACUCCUACGGGAGGCAGCAGUAGGGAAUCUUCCGCAAUGGGCGAAAGCCUGACGGAGCAACGCCGCGUGAGUGAUGAAGGUCUUCGGAUCGUAAAACUCUGUUAUUAGGGAAGAACAAAUGUGUAAGUAACUGUGCACGUCUUGACGGUACCUAAUCAGAAAGCCACGGCUAACUACGUG